RNAcentral lists this ribosomal RNA (180 nucleotides) under Klebsiella quasipneumoniae. Its description in RNAcentral is "16S rRNA. Bacterial SSU". It matches the Rfam family "Bacterial small subunit ribosomal RNA", at positions 1 to 174 of the family's 1533-position model. Lineage: Bacteria; Pseudomonadati; Pseudomonadota; Gammaproteobacteria; Enterobacterales; Enterobacteriaceae. The record is from RNAcentral.
UUAAAUUGAAGAGUUUGAUCAUGGCUCAGAUUGAACGCUGGCGGCAGGCCUAACACAUGCAAGUCGAGCGGUAGCACAGAGAGCUUGCUCUCGGGUGACGAGCGGCGGACGGGUGAGUAAUGUCUGGGAAACUGCCUGAUGGAGGGGGAUAACUACUGGAAACGGUAGCUAAUACCGCAU